Molecule: small nuclear RNA, 107 nt
Filed under: Dasypus novemcinctus (nine-banded armadillo)
Lineage: Eukaryota; Metazoa; Chordata; Mammalia; Cingulata; Dasypodidae
Source: RNAcentral
GUGCUCACUUCAACAGCACAUAUACUCAAAUUGGAACAAUACAGAGAAAAUUAGCAUGGUCCCCGUGCAAGAAUGGCAUGCAAAUUCACGAAGCGUUCCAUAUUUUU